UCUCCGUAGGUGAACCUGCGGAGGGAUCACUACAGGCUUGCAAAAGCUCUGAAACGACUGUUUAUCUACCUGAAUCUGCUUCGGCGGGCGGGCCCAGGGCGGGGCAGUUGCCGCAAGGAGCCCGCCGAAGACCCCUAUACUCUAUCGUCUUGAGAAUCUCUGAGUAUAAUAUAAAACAAAAAAACAACUUUCAACAACGGAUCUCUUGGCUCUG
This 214-nucleotide unclassified non-coding RNA is filed under the name plant metagenome. Its description in RNAcentral is "partial contains small subunit ribosomal RNA, internal transcribed spacer 1, and 5.8S ribosomal RNA". The record is from RNAcentral.